GAUGAACGCUGGCGGCGUGCCUAAUACAUGCAAGUCCAGCGAACGGACGAGAAGCUUGCUUCUCUGAUGUUAGCGGCGGACGGGUGAGUAACACGUGGAUAACCUACCUAUAAGACUGGGAUAACUUCGGGAAACCGGAGCUAAUACCGGAUGAUAUUUUGAACCGCAUGGUUCAAAAGUGAAGGACGGUCUUGCUGUCACUUAUAGAUGGAUCCGCGCUGCAUUAGCUAGUUGGUAAGGUAACGGCUUACCAAGGCAACGAUGCAUAGCCGACCUGAGAGGGUGAUCGGCCACACUGGAACUGAGACACGGUCCAGACUCCUACGGGAGGCAGCAGUAGGGAAUCUUCCGCAAAGGGCGAAAGCCUGACGGAGCAACGCCGCGUGAGUGAUGAAGGUCUUCGGAUCGUAAAACUCUGUUAUUAGGGAAGAACAUAUGUGUAAGUAACUGUGCACAUCUUGACGGUACCUAAUCAGAAAGCCACGGCUAACUACGUG
Molecule: ribosomal RNA, 497 nt
Filed under: uncultured bacterium
Lineage: Bacteria
Description: partial 16S ribosomal RNA
Rfam family: Bacterial small subunit ribosomal RNA
Source: RNAcentral